This 245-nucleotide ribosomal RNA is filed under the name uncultured bacterium. RNAcentral describes it as "partial small subunit ribosomal RNA". It matches the Rfam family "Bacterial small subunit ribosomal RNA", at positions 26 to 285 of the family's 1533-position model. The record is from RNAcentral.
AGAAUCAACGCUGGCGGCGUGCCUAACACAUGCAAGUCGCACGAGAAAGGGUAGCAAUACCUGAGUAAAGUGGCGCACGGGUGAGUAACACGUGAAUUAUCUACCUCCGAGUGGGGAAUAACUGAGAGAAAUCUUAGCUAAUACCGCAUAAUACCCACGGGUCAAAGCAGCAAUGCGCUUGGAGAGGAGUUCGCGGCAGAUUAGCUAGUUGGCGGGGUAAUGGCCCACCAAGGCAGUGAUCUGUA